This 253-nucleotide ribosomal RNA is filed under the name uncultured bacterium. RNAcentral's name for it is "partial 16S ribosomal RNA". It matches the Rfam family "Bacterial small subunit ribosomal RNA", at positions 524 to 776 of the family's 1533-position model. The record is from RNAcentral.
UACGUAGGGAGCAAGCGUUGUCCGGAAUUACUGGGCGUAAAGGGCGCGUAGGUGGGCGUUUAAGUCAGAUGUGAAAACUCCAGGCUCAACCUGGAGACUGCAUUUGAAACUGGAUGUCUUGAGGGCAGGAGAGGAAAGUGGAAUUCCUAGUGUAGCGGUGAAAUGCGUAGAUAUUAGGAGGAACACCAGUGGCGAAGGCGACUUUCUGGACUGUACCUGACACUGAGGCGCGAAAGCGUGGGGAGCGAACGGG